CAGUCACUCUUGUGUUAGCAAUACUGUCUCUAAGCUUGCCAUCUCAAAUCUCAGCUGAUACCUACUUGUACUCAUCACCUCCUCCUCCCAAGAAGCCCUAUUAUUAUCACUCUCCUCCACCACCUUCACCUCCUCCACCUAAGCCAUACUACUAUCAUUCACCACCACCACCUUCACCUCCUCCACCCAAGCCAUACUACUAUCACUCACCACCACCACCUUCACCUCCUCCACCUAAACCAUACUACUAUCACUCACCACCACCACCUUCACCUCCUCCACCUAAACCAUACUACUAUCACUCACCACCACCACCUUCACCUCCUCCACCUAAACCAUACUACUAUCACUCACCACCACCACCUUCACCUCCUCCACCUAAGUCAUAUUACUAUCACUCACCACCACCACCACCCAAAAAGAAGCCAUACUACUACCAUUCUCCCCCACCACCUUCACCACCUCCUCCUAAGCCAUACUACUAUCACUCUCCCCCACCGCCUUCACCUCCUCCACCUACGCCAUACUACUAUCAUUCUCCCCCACCACCCUCACCACCUCCACCUAAGCCAUACUACUACCAUUCACCACCACCCCCACCGAAGAAGAAGCCUUACUACUACCACUCUCCACCACCACCUUCACCUCCUCCUCCAAAGAAGCCAUACUACUACCACUCCCCACCUCCUCCCAAGAAGCCCUACAAAUAUUCAUCUCCCCCACCUCCAGUGCACCCUUACCCUCAUCCUCACCCCCAUCCCCAUCCACACCCCCACCCUCACCCUCCCUACGUUUACAAAUCUCCUCCCCCACCCCCUAAGAAGCCAUACAAGUACCCAUCCCCACCACCUCCAGUCCACGUUUACCCUCACCCUCACCCGCAUCCACACCCUCACCCUCAACCUCACCCCCAUCCACAACCCCACCCUCCCUACAUUUAUCAGUCUCCUCCAC
RNAcentral lists this long non-coding RNA (954 nucleotides) under Phaseolus vulgaris (common bean). RNAcentral describes it as "long non-coding RNA (PVUL_LNC002044)". The record is from RNAcentral. Lineage: Eukaryota; Viridiplantae; Streptophyta; Magnoliopsida; Fabales; Fabaceae.